Molecule: long non-coding RNA, 332 nt
Organism: Colias croceus (clouded yellow)
Lineage: Eukaryota; Metazoa; Arthropoda; Insecta; Lepidoptera; Pieridae
Exons: 2
Source: RefSeq, a predicted model, not a curated record
UUGAAACAGCAAUGAUUUCAUUUUACUGUUCAGAGAUAGUGGUUUUAGAGGAGGUAUGAAGAAACUUCUCGUGAUUGUUUUAUUAUUGGCAAGCAAUAAUGUCUGAUGUUAUAAACAGUAAAGCAGUGACGUCAAAGCCGAACAAAAUAUCAGUUACGAAGAAGAAGCCCACCAAAAUACAAGUGAAUAUCCCCGUAAACCAAUUAAACAAAAUAUGGAAAGAUAUAAAGAAAUUUUUUGGCAAAACCUUUGGAUGAACUUAUUUGAACUUCAAACAUUAAUCAUAUAAAUAGCACGUUUUUAUUUAUUAAUAAAGAAUGUUUUUUUAUUAA